This 616-nucleotide ribosomal RNA is filed under the name uncultured Actinomycetes bacterium. RNAcentral describes it as "bacterial SSU rRNA". It matches the Rfam family "Bacterial small subunit ribosomal RNA", at positions 261 to 885 of the family's 1533-position model. The record is from RNAcentral. Lineage: Bacteria; Bacillati; Actinomycetota; Actinomycetes.
UGGCCUACCAAGGGCGUCGACGGGUACCGGCCUUGAGAGGGUGUAACGGCCACAUUGGGACUGAGAUACGGCCCAGACUCCUACGGGGAGCAGCAGUGGGGAAUAUUGCACAAUGGGCGGAAGCCUGAUGCAGCGACGCCGCGUGGGGGAUGAAGGCCUUCGGGUUGUAAACUCCUUUCGACAGGGACGAAGCGUAAGUGACGGUACCUGUAUAAGAAGCACCGGCUAACUACGUGCCAGCAGCCGCGGUAAUACGUAGGGUGCGAGCGUUGUCCGGAAUUACUGGGCGUAAAGAGCUCGUAGGUGGUUUGUCGCGUCGUCUGUGAAAUUCCGGGGCUUAACUCCGGGCGUGCAGGCGAUACGGGCUGACUUGAGUGCUGUAGGGGAGACUGGAAUUCCUGGUGUAGCGGUGAGAUGCGCAGAUAUCAGGAGGAACACCGAUGGCGAAGGCAGGUCUCUGGGCAGUAACUGACGCUGAGGAGCGAAAGCAUGGGUAGCGAACAGGAUUAGAUACCCUGGUAGUCCAUGCCGUAAACGGUGGGCGCUAGGUGUAGGGGGCUUCCACGUCUUCUGUGCCGUAGCUAACGCUAUUAAGCGCCCCGCCUGGGGAGUACGC